GUUUUUUUUUUAUCAUAGUAAAAAGCACCAUACAUGUACAUUCAAUGUGUGACAAUGGCAAAAGACAUAGAGUCUCCCUCCCCUCUGUUUGAAGGGGGGAGAGCCCUACAAGGAGUGCACAAGGGGUUUGAAGGAGAUAGUGAACGUUCAAAGAGUGCACAUUGCUUCAAAAAGAGAAGCCAGCAACAUCUUCAAGCACUUCAGUAAUGAUCCUUCCGCAGGUUCACCUACGGAAA
RNAcentral lists this unclassified non-coding RNA (236 nucleotides) under uncultured fungus. Its description in RNAcentral is "sequence contains ITS1". Lineage: Eukaryota; Fungi. The record is from RNAcentral.